UCCCAGAUGGGCUUGACAAUUUCCUUUCUUCUUGGCUUUCAUCCUCAGCUCUAUCUCCGGCAGGAGACACAUGGGGCUUGGCACCUGUGAGCACUCUAUGCUGGAUUCUCACUGAAGACAAUGCUGUCACGGACAAUCUCAGCACCUUCACCUAGUCUCAGGUUACCAGCUGCUGAGACCCAUGAGUGGAGUCCACCCGACCCGAAGGAAACCUUAUUGCAUUUGAACCGCCUUCCUUUUCACCAUUUGCAUGGUGGUGCAUCAGCCUCCACGGAGCACAGAUGGCACUUGCCUCUACAUGAACAGCAUGGAAUUUCAUUGUGCCCCGUCCAUAUUCUAGGCUGGCUUCACUUUAUUGUCAGCAUGUCUGCCCACUAUCGUCCUGCCCAAAGCAAUCGGCAUAACUCUGUCAAAGAGUGGCUUGACAUUUUUUCAUAGUAUGAAGAAAGAUCAUUAACACUGAAAUGUGACUGCUAAGAGGCUUCAGCUCAUGUUUACUAAUCUCCUGUAUGGCGAAACACUGGCACCCAGACAAACCC
Trichechus manatus latirostris (Florida manatee) is the source of this 539-nucleotide long non-coding RNA. RefSeq lists it as uncharacterized. The transcript has 3 exons. The record is from RefSeq and is a predicted model, not a curated record. Lineage: Eukaryota; Metazoa; Chordata; Mammalia; Sirenia; Trichechidae.